RNAcentral lists this unclassified non-coding RNA (333 nucleotides) under uncultured fungus. RNAcentral's name for it is "sequence contains ITS1, 5.8S rRNA gene, ITS2". The stretch from base 153 to 317 matches the Rfam family "5.8S ribosomal RNA". The record is from RNAcentral. Lineage: Eukaryota; Fungi.
GCCGUAUGGGUAGACCUCCCACCCUUGUGUAUUAUUACUUUGUUGCUUUGGCGAGCUGCCUUCGGGCCUUGAGCUUUCGAGCUCGAGCAUGCUCGCCAGAGGAUAUCAAAACUCUUUUUAUUAAUGUCGUCUGAGUACUAUAUAAUAGUUAAAACUUUCAACAACGGAUCUCUUGGUUCUGGCAUCGAUGAAGAACGCAGCGAAGAACGCACCUUCUGCCCGGGGGGUGGCCUCCCCUUUGUGUAUUAUUCGUUGUUGCUUUGGCGAGCUGCCUUCGGCCUUGAGCUUUCGAGCUGAGCAUGCUCGCCGAGGAUAUCAAACUCUUUUUAUUAA